This 541-nucleotide long non-coding RNA is filed under the name Daucus carota (carrot). RNAcentral describes it as "long non-coding RNA (DCAR_LNC000278)". The record is from RNAcentral. Lineage: Eukaryota; Viridiplantae; Streptophyta; Magnoliopsida; Apiales; Apiaceae.
GCCCAAGCACUAAAGGAAGAGGUUGACCGGUUGUUGGGUGCUAAGUUGAUCAAGGAGUCGUUCUACCCUACAUGGCUGGCUAACCCGGUCCUUGUCAAGAAGCCUAAUGGGAAGUGGAGAACCUGUGUUGAUUUCACAGAUCUGAACAAAGCAUGCCCAAAGGAUAGUUUUCCACUCCCGAGGAUAGACCAGUUGGUGGAUGCCACAGCAGGACACGCUCUGUUAAGUUUCAUGGAUGCCUAUUCAGGGUACAAUCAGAUACCCAUGCAUGAACCAGAUCAGGAGCACACUUCUUUUAUAACUGACAGAGGACUAUAUUGCUAUAUAGGGAUGCCGUUUGGACUAAUCAAUGCUGGCGCAACUUACCAACGCCUUGUGAACAUGCCCGGUCCUUGUCAAGAAGCCUAAUGGGAAGUGGAGAACCUGUGUUGAUUUCACAGAUCUGAACAAAGCAUGCCCAAAGGAUAGUUUUCCACUCCCGAGGAUAGACCAGUUGGUGGAUGCCACAGCAGGACACGCUCUGUUAAGUUUCAUGGAUGCC